UGGGGAAUAUUGCGCAAUGGGCGAAAGCCUGACGCAGCAACGCCGCGUGAGUGAUGAAGGCCUUCGGGUCGUAAAGCUCUGUCGGAGGGAACGAAUGCUCUUGAGGUUAACAGCCUCGGGAGGUGACGGUACCCUCAAAGGAAGCACCGGCUAACUCUGUGCCAGCAGCCGCGGUAAUACAGAGGGUGCAAGCGUUGUUCGGAAUCAUUGGGCGUAAAGCGCACGUAGGCGGCUAGGUCCGUCCGAUGUGAAAGCCCCCGGCUCAACCGGGGAAUUGCAUCGGAUACAGCCUGGCUUGAGGACGGUUGGGGUGAGUGGAACUCCUGGUGGAGCGGUGAAAUGCGUAGAUAUCAGGAGGAACACCGGUGGCGAAAGCGGCUCACUGGACCGUUACUGACGCUGAGGUGCGAAAGCUAGGGGAGCAAACGGGAUUAGAUACCCCAGUAGUCCCUGAG
RNAcentral lists this ribosomal RNA (455 nucleotides) under uncultured bacterium. RNAcentral describes it as "bacterial SSU rRNA". It matches the Rfam family "Bacterial small subunit ribosomal RNA", at positions 355 to 801 of the family's 1533-position model. The record is from RNAcentral.